UCCCAGACUCCUACGGGAGGCAGCAGUCGGGAAUAUUGCGCAAUGGAGGAAACUCUGACGCAGUGACGCCGCGUAUAGGAAGAAGGUUUUCGGAUUGUAAACUAUUGUCCACAGGGAAGAUAAAAGACUGUACCUGUGAAGAAAGCUCCGGCUAACUACGUGCCAGCAGCCGCGGUAAUACGUAGGGGGCAAGCGUUAUCCGGAUUUACUGGGUGUAAAGGGAGCGUAGACGGCUAAGCAAGUCUGAAGUGAAAGCCCGGGGCUUAACCCCGGGACUGCUUUGGAAACUGUUAAGCUAGAGUGCUGGAGAGGUAAGUGGAAUUCCUAGUGUAGCGGUGAAAUGCGUAGAUAUUAGGAGGAACACCAGUGGCGAAGGCGGCUUACUGGACAGUAACUGACGUUGAGGCUCGAAAGCGUGGGGAGCAAACAGGAUUAGAUACCCCAGUACA
This 449-nucleotide ribosomal RNA is filed under the name uncultured bacterium. Its description in RNAcentral is "bacterial SSU rRNA". It matches the Rfam family "Bacterial small subunit ribosomal RNA", at positions 329 to 797 of the family's 1533-position model. The record is from RNAcentral.